CGCUUGAUAGCACAGUGGUUAUUGCGUCUGUAAUUUCUGACCGCGCAGGAUGAUUUUUCUGCAGAAGAUCCCCGUUCGAUUCGGGGUCGGGUGA
Molecule: non-coding RNA, 94 nt
Organism: Mycena crocata
Lineage: Eukaryota; Fungi; Basidiomycota; Agaricomycetes; Agaricales; Mycenaceae
Source: the annotation of a GenBank genome assembly